AAAAAAGUAAAGGACGGUAACAAUAAGACAGGGAAAACAUGCAAGUUUUAUGACGAGCUGGAUAGGCACCGACCAGCCUCCGCUCCAUCUUUCGUUGACACCAGGAAAAGGUGGAUGAGGUCGUGGAGGAUACAGAGACGAUGGCAGUCAGAUCCAGCCACAGUCUCCAGUGGAGAGUGCGGAUGAUGUGGCCGAUACUGAGGGAGAGCCCAGUACCUCUGGAAAUGGGAAAUAGAUGAUUGUACUCCCCCCACCAACAAAGAAAAGCAGGAAAAACAAAACCGAAAAGGGAAGCAGCUGGAGACAUUUCUGGGCUACCAGAGAGAAGCAGAGGAAAGGUUUGAGAAAAGAGAGGAGGAAAGAUGGGAGAGAGAGAGAAAGUUAGCGGAAACAACAAGAAAGGAGGAACAGACGCACCAACUCAACAUGAUUGAAAUGCUUGGACAAAUGAUACGGCAACCAGGACCAUCACAGUAUUAUCCACCAUCAUCGCAACCAUUUAACUCUGACUCACAGUACGACUACUAACUUUUAAACAUCAAACAUUAAUCAUACAGUCAUAAUUAUAACAAUAAAAUAAUGAUGCGUAUGAUAACAUAAGUUCACAUAAUUAUCAUGUACUACUCCUUAUUUGGUUACCACUAAUAUCUACUGAGCCGACUGUCUAAUCUCGCUAAAGGAUGAGUCACGAGAUUCUCCACAAACUUCACAGAUAUCCGACUAGAAAAACAUUUGCAAUGUGAAAAAUUGCUAGGAUUGGCCAGGGGAACCACAAAAAAGCGUGGGAACAAGAAAUCAGACGAGAGCAUAACUCCAAUCCGUUACAACGUCAAUCACAUGUAUACUGGUAGUUUUCCCAUGUUUUCCCAGCCAAUAUGCCACGCAAUUUUUACUGGUGGAGUGAUGACCAAUCCCUAUAUAUAUUUAUUAUACAUCCAUUUUAGAAUGUGGGGCACAUAAUCAUGAUGAUUUGUGAUGAAUUGAUGUUCCUAAUACAUGCAGUGUUGAGCACAGGUACACACAGUCCAUCCAUACGUAGUAACAUGCACGGACCGUACUGGUGACUGCAUGGAAUGAUAAAGUGGUGGAUGGAAGCUGAUAGGUGGAUCUGGAACACAGUCUAUUAUUUAAUAUACUAUGUAUUGUACAUGUUCAUGACGUUGUAACGGAUUGGAGUUAUGCUCUCGUCUGAUUUCUUGUUCCCACGCUUUUUUGUGGUUCCCCUGGCCAAUCCUAGCAAUUUUUCACAUUGCAAAUGUUUUUCUAGUCGGAUUCCCUUUCUUUUUCAGUACAGUUUAUGUAUCAUGACAUGCAUAAGUGGAACGUCAAGAGGCAGUACAAGAAGAGAAGACAGGACUAAUCAGAUAUCUUCUGGAAUACUGGACUAAUAAUUAUAGUAUAAUGAGUAAUAAUUUAUUGCUUGAUAAUUAUGUUGAAUUUGCUAAUCAGUAUUAAA
Long non-coding RNA from Halichondria panicea, 1456 nucleotides. RefSeq lists it as uncharacterized. The record is from RefSeq and is a predicted model, not a curated record. The transcript has 3 exons. Lineage: Eukaryota; Metazoa; Porifera; Demospongiae; Suberitida; Halichondriidae.